UUACUAAAGUAGUAAUAGAUAUGAGCUUGAAACUUAAAGAAUUUGGCGGUAUUUUAAUCUUUUCAGAGGAACCUGUUCUAUAAUCGAUAAUCCUCGUUUAAUUUUACUAAAUUAUUUGUAUAUCGUUGUCGAAAGAAUAAAUUUUCUAAAAUUAAUAUUUUAAUAGAUGUCAAAUCAAGGUGCAGUUAAUAAUUUAGAAGAAAUGGGUUACAAUAAAAUUAUUUAGAAAUUAGACGAAGGUGGAUUUGAAAGUAAAUUAAUUUUAAUAAGAU
This 272-nucleotide ribosomal RNA is filed under the name Ochotonobius hirticrus. RNAcentral describes it as "partial 12S ribosomal RNA". The record is from RNAcentral. Lineage: Eukaryota; Metazoa; Arthropoda; Insecta; Siphonaptera; Leptopsyllidae.